GCAACAGUGGCCACACCCCCUUUGGGCGUGGCUUCGGACAGAAGCAAAAAGAGAAAAGUGUGAGGCAUUCUCUCUCUCUCUCUCUCUCUCUCUCUCUCUCUCUCUCUCUCUCUCUCUGUGUGUGUGUGUGUGUGUGUGUGUGUGUGUGUGUGUGUGUGUGUGUCUGUCUGUCUGUCUGUCUGACUGACUGUCUGUCUGUCUCUGUCUCUGUCUUUCUUGGGUCAGCGGAUCCGAUUGGAAGGGCAGAGAAACGUUGUGAUGGUUCUUUACUAUUAUCUGUGAGAAUGCAGCCCACUGUGGAAGUCACCAUCCCUAGGCAGGCGGAACUGAGCUAUACAGGAAAAAGGUAGCCUUGCUGUGCACCAACAAACAGUGUUUUCCUGGGGCUUCUGUUUCAAGUUUCUACUUUCAGUGAUGGACUGUGACCUGGAAGGGCAAUUGGAAUAAACCCUCUCCUCCCCUGAGAACCUGUCAUCUUCAUGCCAGCUAGAUGAAAGACUCCAGAGAGGCUGCGGCGGUCAGAAUAUCAACAACAGAAAUUUGUUUGUAAUAUGCUUGGCUUCUUGCCACCAUGGAGGUGAGUGAAUUCAGCACAGGUAUUGGGCAUCACUUCUUUUGGUGUGGUGCCUUUACCAUGGCAACAGUGCUGCAGGGACCAAAGAGUCCUGAAAGAGACAACAGAUAACUCUGAUCCAGAAGCCUCUGGAGGCUGUUGGUCCUUCUCAAUUCCACAUCCCUGAGAGCAAAGAUGGGUGCUCCGUGCUGGGAAGUCCUGAAGACCCUACCAGACCCUACCCAACCCCUGCUCCAGUAUAACCAGGUUGUGGCCCCAACCUCAGGAUCCUACCUCAAAUGCUGAGCAAACAUGGAUCUGUACAUGUGAUAACUCACACAAAAAUGUUCAUUUUUUGUCUAUGUUGAUAACCGUGUUAAU
Molecule: long non-coding RNA, 934 nt
Filed under: Cricetulus griseus (Chinese hamster)
Lineage: Eukaryota; Metazoa; Chordata; Mammalia; Rodentia; Cricetidae
Description: lncRNA (ENSCGRG00015032718.1)
Source: RNAcentral